Molecule: non-coding RNA, 1106 nt
Organism: Microcebus murinus (gray mouse lemur)
Lineage: Eukaryota; Metazoa; Chordata; Mammalia; Primates; Cheirogaleidae
Source: RefSeq, a predicted model, not a curated record
UAGGAGGAGGAGAGGGAGGUCCCCAGGCUGGACAGGCUGGAUGGAGAACAGCAGCAGCAACUGCCCAGGGAGGCUCUGCGGCCUACAACAGGUGUCCUUGGAGUCAGGCAAGUUCAUGUGCCCCUGUGGAACAGAGGAUGCCCAGGACAGAGUCAGACGGCGAGCACAGAAGGAUCCCCUCCACCUCCGAACUGCACCCUCACAGGCUCCAGUGUGAUGGAUCAGUUGUAAAGAUCUCCCUGCUGGGGUCACAGGAGGCUGGAUGCCCUCGCAAGGAGACAGCAACAGAACUCAGUGCCUGGACAAUCUCGCCUCACCCUCUCAGCCACAGGCUUAGGGUUGCUUGUAGGACAGUUCCAACAGGGAUCAGAACAACUGUGGCUCCGAGUACCAGAUGAUCACACUGGAUCACACUGGAUUAGAGUGGACCCUCAGUCCAACGACUAGUGUCCUUAUAAGAAGGCUACGUGAAGACACAGGGACGGACACACACACACAGAGGGAGAAUGCCAUGUGAAGACAGAGGCAGAGACUGGAUUGAACACCAAGGCUUGCUGGCAACCACCAGAAGCUUGAAAAGAGGCAUGUGAUAGAUUCUUCCCCCAGGAGCUUUCUGAGGGAGAAUGGUGCUACUGACGCUAACAUUUUGGCCUUCAGGCCUAAAGAACUAUAAGAGGAUAAAUUUCUGUUGUUUUUGGUCACCCUGUGUGUAGUAAUCUGUUAUAGCACUCCUAGGAAACUAACACAAUCCUGAAAACAUGCUAAGAGAAAGAAGCCAGUCAAAAAGGACCACAUAUUAUGAUUUAUUUGAAAUGUCCAGAAUAGGCAAAUCCACCAAGACAGAAAAUAGAUAGUGGUUGCCUGGGGCCAGGGGGUGGUGGGUCUGGGGAGUGAUAACCAAUGGCAUGGGGUUUCUUCUGGGGUAAUGAAAAUAUUUUAAAAUUGAUGGUGGUGAUAGAGACACAACUCUGUGAAUAUCCUAAAAGCCAAUAAUUUAUAAUAAAAACAUAGGAUAAAUGAAUUAAAGUACAGGCAGUCCUGAGAACAUCUUUAGGUCAAAUUUUUAUGUAACUCAGAUCCCUGAUGAACAGCGCAUACGUGGUAAU